UACGUAGGGUGCGAGCGUUGUCCGGAUUUAUUGGGCGUAAAGGGCUCGUAGGCGGCGUGUCGCGUCGGGAGUGAAAGCCCGUUGCUUAACGGCGGGUUGGCUUUCGGUACGGGCAUGCUGGAGUGCGGCAGGGGAGACUGGAAUUCCUGGUGUAGCGGUGGAAUGCGCAGAUAUCAGGAGGAACACCUGUGGCGAAAGCGGCUCACUGGACCACAACUGACGCUGAUGCACGAAAGCUGGGGGAGCAAACAGG
This 253-nucleotide ribosomal RNA is filed under the name uncultured bacterium. RNAcentral's name for it is "partial 16S ribosomal RNA". It matches the Rfam family "Bacterial small subunit ribosomal RNA", at positions 524 to 776 of the family's 1533-position model. The record is from RNAcentral.